CUCGAUAUAGCUCAGUUGGUAGAGCGGAGGACUGUAGUUCCUUAGGUCACUGGUUCAAGUCCGGUUGUCGAGA
This 73-nucleotide transfer RNA is filed under the name Fidelibacterota bacterium. Its description in RNAcentral is "tRNA-Tyr". It matches the Rfam family "tRNA". From Rfam's summary of the family: Transfer RNA (tRNA) molecules are approximately 80 nucleotides in length. Their secondary structure includes four short double-helical elements and three loops (D, anti-codon, and T loops). Further hydrogen bonds mediate the characteristic L-shaped molecular structure. tRNAs have two regions of fundamental functional importance: the anti-codon, which is responsible for specific mRNA codon recognition, and the 3' end, to which the tRNAs corresponding amino acid is attached (by aminoacyl-tRNA synthetases). tRNAs cope with the degeneracy of the genetic code in two manners: having more than one tRNA (with a specific anti-codon) for a particular amino acid; and 'wobble' base-pairing, i.e. permitting non-standard base-pairing at the 3rd anti-codon position. Lineage: Bacteria; Pseudomonadati; Fidelibacterota. The record is from RNAcentral.